Molecule: transfer RNA, 83 nt
Filed under: Patescibacteria group bacterium
Lineage: Bacteria
Description: tRNA-Leu
Rfam family: tRNA
About the family: Transfer RNA (tRNA) molecules are approximately 80 nucleotides in length. Their secondary structure includes four short double-helical elements and three loops (D, anti-codon, and T loops). Further hydrogen bonds mediate the characteristic L-shaped molecular structure. tRNAs have two regions of fundamental functional importance: the anti-codon, which is responsible for specific mRNA codon recognition, and the 3' end, to which the tRNAs corresponding amino acid is attached (by aminoacyl-tRNA synthetases). tRNAs cope with the degeneracy of the genetic code in two manners: having more than one tRNA (with a specific anti-codon) for a particular amino acid; and 'wobble' base-pairing, i.e. permitting non-standard base-pairing at the 3rd anti-codon position.
Source: RNAcentral
GCCGGGGUGGCGGAAUGGCAGACGCAAGGGACUUAAAAUCCCUCGCCCACAAAGGCGUGAGGGUUCGACUCCCUCUCCCGGCA